UGGGGAAUAUUGCACAAUGGGCGCAAGCCUGAUGCAGCCAUGCCGCGUGUAUGAAGAAGGCCUUCGGGUUGUAAAGUACUUUCAGCGAGGAGGAAGGCAUUGUGGUUAAUAACCUGCAUGUGAUUGACUGUUACUCGCAGAAGAAGCACCGGCUAACUCCGUGCCAGCAGCCGCGGUAAUACGGAGGGUGCAAGCGUUAAUCGGAAUUACUGGGCGUAAAGCGCACGCAGGCGGUCUGUCAAGUCGGAUGUGAAAUCCCCGGGCUCAACCUGGGAACUGCAUUCGAAACUGGCAGGCUAGAGUCUUGUAGAGGGGGUAGGAAUUCCAGG
This 329-nucleotide ribosomal RNA is filed under the name uncultured Buttiauxella sp. Its description in RNAcentral is "bacterial SSU rRNA". It matches the Rfam family "Bacterial small subunit ribosomal RNA", at positions 355 to 673 of the family's 1533-position model. The record is from RNAcentral. Lineage: Bacteria; Pseudomonadati; Pseudomonadota; Gammaproteobacteria; Enterobacterales; Enterobacteriaceae.